Molecule: long non-coding RNA, 1293 nt
Organism: Colossoma macropomum (tambaqui)
Lineage: Eukaryota; Metazoa; Chordata; Actinopteri; Characiformes; Serrasalmidae
Exons: 3
Source: RefSeq, a predicted model, not a curated record
UCCCGGCUACGGAUGGCUGUAGCAUCACCAGGGAUCGAACUCGCGAUCUCCUGAUGAUAGGGCCAACGCUUAGACGGUUGUGCCACUUGGGAGCCCUAGUGUUUUAUUUUAAACAUUUUUCCAAAAAUGUUUUAACCUCAGUUUUAAUAGGUAAUUUUGGGCACCUAUAAGAUCCUCUGGGAGUUGGCAUAAAGCAUAAAAAAUAAAGGCUGCUUCAGUUUGCUUAACAUUACCCAUAGAUUUGCUUGACAUUACCCAUAGAUUUAAGAGACCUACAUAUCAAAACAGCAUAUAGGAAAUAUACAGAAAUAACCUUGCUGUGUUUCUAAGCUAACAGUAACACUUUAAAAUCAAUUCUGUAACUAACUAGAAGCUGUUGUAAAGAUUCUAGAACUAGAUUAAUGUGCUGUGCUCUCUUUAUACUAUCUUGUCUUUGUUAGGAGCAUUUUAAAUGAACUGCAACUUUUUAAUUGUCUUUUAAGGAAGUUCAGUUAGGAGAACACAAAGUAUCAGUCCUAUUAGAAAUAAAAGCAUGGAUAUGUUUCUUUAGGUUUUGUUGAUAAUAAACCUUUACUUCUGGCUAUAUUUUAACUCCUUAAAUGGCCAAGGCCAACCAAUUAUUUAUGUGUUCCAUACAUUGUACCUCUAUCUAUAAUAUUUGGUGAGAAAGACAAGUAUAUUUGCAUAGCAUCUACACAAAUGGCACACAGUCUUGUGGGCUUUGAAUAAAAAGGGCCCAGAAACUGGUCACUGGGGAAUAGAUUCAUAACUGCCAGUUGCAACAAAGUUAUACCACCUUUGUAAGGCAUGAACCAUGAACCGACAUUUCCAGAAAGUCCUACAUAGAUUUUCAACCUGGCUAGAAGUAUUUUUAAGAUCUACAGUGUCUGUAAUGAUUUUUUGCCAGAAUUAAUAUUCAGACUUGUCAUUUCAAAUCAUAUAAGGGCUAUCUCAGUACUGUAGUGGGAUCUAAAACCUGAUUGAAAUGUGUUAGUGAAUCCAUUUACAUUUACUGUUUCUGUUGUUUUCUCUGUUUUAUCCCCAACUGCAGAUGGCUUUUUUCUACAACAUCCCCACACCUGCUGAAACCAGUACACUGAGCAUCAAGGCUAAGACUGAGGGACGUUGCUCAAAAUCACUUGCACAGUUUCUAUCCAUCAACUUUACAGUCAUAUAUAAUGGAACAUUAAACAGCACCAAUAUGGUCAUAGUAGACAUAAAAAUCUUGUCAGGAUUCACAGCAGAUCCCAGUGCUCUGAAAUAUAUGGCACUUGUGGAGCGAGCUGAAUCCAA